AAUUCAUAUAUUGCACGGGCUCUAUCGAUAUCACCAAGAAUGGUCUCUAGUUCAGCAAAUUUAAUCCAUGAUGUGCAGUUUUCUGGUGCAAACUCCAGGAAUUUUUCAUACAGCUUUCGACAACGAUCAAAUUCUCGCAACUGUAACUCCAGUUCAAUAUAACCUUUAAAAAGUUUGUUUUUCGGACAUUUGCCUAUGGAUGUUCCCAAAGCUCUUCUAGCAAGUGGAAGAUUUUUCUGUCUUAUUUCAAAUUGUGCAUACAGCAGCCAUAUUUUGGCAAAUGUAAACUUCUUGUGUGGAAGGAGCUCAAUACAUGCCUGAUAAACUUGUCUGGUUCGCUCUGGAUCCUUUGCCUCUAGCUCUUCAUAUAAUGCAUAGUUAAUCCAAAGAUAGAUGUAUCUCUUCCAGUAUCUCUUCUCUUGAAUUGGGGGAACGUUAGCGAUGGCUCUUUCAUACACUUCUCGGACAGUCUCUGCAUCAGCAUCACUUUCAACUAACCUCAAGUAGUCAAACCACGCAUCAUAAUUAUGUGGAUUUGCCUUCACUUCCUCUUCAUACUGGAAUCUUCGCUUGCUGACAAUUAUGUCUUCAAUACCCCUUCUAUCUCCAAACUUCUUCUCAAAAAUGGUGUAAUUUUUGAAGAGAUUCUGGGCAUCCUGUUUUGGAAUUCUAUCCAAGGCAUACUUGUAGAUCACCCUUACUCUUUCAAAUUCUUUUUGGUUCUCUUCAAACUUCGCAAAAGCCACAUACAAGUGCUCAUCCAUAUGCUCUUCUCCAAAGAACUCCACUGCCCUCUCAUAUACUUUCCUGGCAUGAGCAAAAUAACAGUGCUUCUCUUCAAAGCGGGCAUACUUGAUCCAGUUUUUCACAUCAGGAUGGACAAUAACGAAUCUUUCAUAAAUGGUACGUGCCCUAUCCACCUCCUUGUAUCUCAACUCGAAGUUAAUAUAGGAAUGCCAAGCUUGCUCCUCUGGUUGCCAUUCCAUCCAGCGUUCAAACACCUGACGUGAUCCAGCAACAUUCCCCAGCAUCUCUUCCAUGUAAGUGUACUUAUACCUUAGAAAACAAGAUCUAGUGUUUACAAUCACUUAGUAAAUACAAAUUACAAUGAUUUUUCAAGUGCUUAAUAAGAGCAUCACUGACACUUCUACCACCUAUUCCCC
This 1163-nucleotide long non-coding RNA is filed under the name Gallus gallus (chicken). The record is from RNAcentral. Lineage: Eukaryota; Metazoa; Chordata; Aves; Galliformes; Phasianidae.